GACUAUACAUGCAGUCGAACGGCAGCACAGGAGAGCUUGCUCUCUGGGUGGCGAGUGGCGGACGGGUGAGGAAUACAUCGGAAUCUACUUUUUCGUGGGGGAUAACGUAGGGAAACUUACGCUAAUACCGCAUACGACCUACGGGUGAAAGCAGGGGAUCUUCGGACCUUGCGCGAUUGAAUGAGCCGAUGUCGGAUUAGCUAGUUGGCGGGGUAAAGGCCCACCAAGGCGACGAUCCGUAGCUGGUCUGAGAGGAUGAUCAGCCACACUGGAACUGAGACACGGUCCAGACUCCUACGGGAGGCAGCAGUGGGGAAUAUUGGACAAUGGGCGCAAGCCUGAUCCAGCCAUACCGCGUGGGUGAAGAAGGCCUUCGGGUUGUAAAGCCCUUUUGUUGGGAAAGAAAUCCAGCUGGUUAAUACCCGGUUGGGAUGACGGUACCCAAAGAAUAAGCACCGGCUAACUUCGUGCCACCAGCCGCGGUAAUACGAAGGGUGCAAGCGUUACUCGGAAUUACUGGGCGUAAAGCGUGCGUAGGUGGUCGUUUAAGUCCGUUGUGAAAGCCCUGGGCUCAACCUGGGAACUGCAGUGGAUACUGGGCGACUAGAGUGUGGUAGAGGGUAGCGGAAUUCCUGGUGUAGCAGUGAAAUGCGUAUAGAUCAGGAGGAACAUCCAUGGCGAAGGCAGCUACCUGGACCAACACUGACACUGAGGCACGAAAGCGUGUGGAGCAAACAGGAUUAGAUACCCUGGUAGUCCACGCCCUAAACGAUGCGAACUGGAUGUUGGGUGCAAUUUGGCACGCAGUAUCGAAGCUAACGCGUUAAUUCGCCGCCU
This 837-nucleotide ribosomal RNA is filed under the name Stenotrophomonas sp. A005. RNAcentral's name for it is "bacterial SSU rRNA". It matches the Rfam family "Bacterial small subunit ribosomal RNA", at positions 47 to 874 of the family's 1533-position model. The record is from RNAcentral. Lineage: Bacteria; Pseudomonadati; Pseudomonadota; Gammaproteobacteria; Lysobacterales; Lysobacteraceae.